GGGGAUGUAGCUCAAUUGGUUAGAGCGCUGGCCUGUCUCGCCUGAGGUUGCGGGUUCGAACCCCGUCAUCUUCG
RNAcentral lists this transfer RNA (74 nucleotides) under Nitrososphaerota archaeon. RNAcentral's name for it is "Thaumarchaeota archaeon tRNA-Asp". It matches the Rfam family "tRNA". From Rfam's summary of the family: Transfer RNA (tRNA) molecules are approximately 80 nucleotides in length. Their secondary structure includes four short double-helical elements and three loops (D, anti-codon, and T loops). Further hydrogen bonds mediate the characteristic L-shaped molecular structure. tRNAs have two regions of fundamental functional importance: the anti-codon, which is responsible for specific mRNA codon recognition, and the 3' end, to which the tRNAs corresponding amino acid is attached (by aminoacyl-tRNA synthetases). tRNAs cope with the degeneracy of the genetic code in two manners: having more than one tRNA (with a specific anti-codon) for a particular amino acid; and 'wobble' base-pairing, i.e. permitting non-standard base-pairing at the 3rd anti-codon position. Lineage: Archaea; Thermoproteati; Nitrososphaerota. The record is from RNAcentral.